UCACAUUGGACCAGAGCCUACAACAGACAGAUUUGUGGUUGUCAUGAAUGGACCUGACGAAAGGAGUAUUCCAGGGAACACAAUUGCAGUUCAAGCAAAUAUGCCAUUUAGCGGUUUGACAACUUUUGGAUCUGCAUUUUUAUCAAAGUUUGAGUGUUCUCAAAUGCCACAUCCUCUGUUGGAGCACAUCACAUUUGUUGAUACUCCUGGAGUUCUAUCGGGAGAAAAACAACGAACACAAAGG
This 244-nucleotide unclassified non-coding RNA is filed under the name Hevea brasiliensis (rubber tree). Lineage: Eukaryota; Viridiplantae; Streptophyta; Magnoliopsida; Malpighiales; Euphorbiaceae. The record is from RNAcentral.